Molecule: ribosomal RNA, 693 nt
Filed under: uncultured bacterium
Lineage: Bacteria
Description: bacterial SSU rRNA
Rfam family: Bacterial small subunit ribosomal RNA
Source: RNAcentral
CACGGAGAUGCGAUUUCGGUCAAAUCAAGUGCAAUCUUAGUGGCGGACGGGUGAGUAACGCGUGGGUAACCUGCCUUGCACUGGGGGAUAACACUUAGAAAUAGGUGCUAAUACCGCAUAAGCGCACGGUUCUGCAUGGGACAGUGUGAAAAACUCCGGUGGUGCAAGAUGGACCCGCGUCUGAUUAGCUGGUUGGCGGGGUAAAGGCCCACCAAGGCGACGAUCAGUAGCCGGCCUGAGAGGGUGGACGGCCACAUUGGGACUGAGACACGGCCCAAACUCCUACGGGAGGCAGCAGUGGGGGGUAUUGGACAAUGGGGGGAACCCUGAUCCAGCGACGCCGCGUGAGUGAAGAAGUAUUUCGGUAUGUAAAGCUCUGUCAGCAGGGAAGAAAGCAAUGACGGUACCUGACCAAGAAGCCCCGGCUAACUACGUGCCAGCAGCCGCGGUAAUACGUAGGGGGCAAGCGUUAUCCGGAAUUACUGGGUGUAAAGGGAGCGUAGACGGCUGUGCAAGUCUGGAGUGAAAGGCGGGGGCCCAACCCCCGGACUGCUCUGGAAACUGUAUGGCUGGAGUGCAGGAGAGGUAAGCGGAGUUCCUAGUGUAGCGGUGAAAUGCGUAGAUAUUAGGAGGAACACCAGUGGCGAAGGCGGCUUACUGGACUGUAACUGACGUUGAGGCUCGAAAGCGUGG